RNAcentral lists this ribosomal RNA (779 nucleotides) under uncultured Halomonas sp. RNAcentral describes it as "bacterial SSU rRNA". It matches the Rfam family "Bacterial small subunit ribosomal RNA", at positions 96 to 870 of the family's 1533-position model. The record is from RNAcentral. Lineage: Bacteria; Pseudomonadati; Pseudomonadota; Gammaproteobacteria; Oceanospirillales; Halomonadaceae.
UGGCGGACGGGUGAGUAAUGCUUAGGAAUCUGCCUAUUAGUGGGGGACAACGUUCCGAAAGGAACGCUAAUACCGCAUACGCCCUACGGGGGAAAGCAGGGGAUCUUCGGACCUUGCGCUAAUAGAUGAGCCUAAGUCGGAUUAGCUAGUUGGUGGGGUAAAGGCCUACCAAGGCGACGAUCUGUAGCGGGUCUGAGAGGAUGAUCCGCCACACUGGGACUGAGACACGGCCCAGACUCCUACGGGAGGCAGCAGUGGGGAAUAUUGGACAAUGGGCGCAAGCCUGAUCCAGCCAUGCCGCGUGUGUGAAGAAGGCCUUUUGGUUGUAAAGCACUUUAAGCGAGGAGGAGGCUCCUUUAGUUAAUACCUAAAGUGAGUGGACGUUACUCGCAGAAUAAGCACCGGCUAACUCUGUGCCAGCAGCCGCGGUAAUACAGAGGGUGCGAGCGUUAAUCGGAUUUACUGGGCGUAAAGCGUGCGUAGGCGGCUUUUUAAGUCGGAUGUGAAAUCCCUGAGCUUAACUUAGGAAUUGCAUUUGAUACUGGAAAGCUAGAGUAUGGGAGAGGAUGGUAGAAUUCCAGGUGUAGCGGUGAAAUGCGUAGGGAUCUGGAGGAAUACCGAUGGCGAAGGCAGCCAUCUGGCCUAAUACUGACGCUGAGGUACGAAAGCAUAGGGAGCAAACAGGAUUAGAUACCCUGGUAGUCCAUGCCGUAAACGAUGUCUACUAGCCGUUGGGGCCUUUGAGGCUUUAGUGGCGCAGCUAACGCGAUAAGUAGACC